This 468-nucleotide ribosomal RNA is filed under the name uncultured bacterium. RNAcentral describes it as "partial 16S ribosomal RNA". It matches the Rfam family "Bacterial small subunit ribosomal RNA", at positions 28 to 507 of the family's 1533-position model. The record is from RNAcentral.
GACGAACGCUGGCGGCGUGCUUAACACAUGCAAGUCGAACGGAAAGGCCCUGCUUUUGUGGGGUGCUCGAGUGGCGAACGGGUGAGUAACACGUGAGUAACCUGCCCUUGACUUUGGGAUAACUUCAGGAAACUGGGGCUAAUACCGGAUAGGAGCUCCUGCUGCAUGGUGGGGGUUGGAAAGUUUCGGCGGUCGGGGAUGGACUCGCGGCUUAUCAGCUUGUUGGUGGGGUAGUGGCUUACCAAGGCUUUGACGGGUAGCCGGCCUGAGAGGGUGACCGGCCACAUUGGGACUGAGAGACGGCGCAGACGCCUACGGGAGGCAGCAGUGGGGAGUAUUGCACAAUGGGCGGAAGCCUGAUGCAGCAACGCCGCGUGCGGGAUGACGGCCUUCGGGUUGUAAACCGCUUUCGCCUGUGACGAAGCGUGAGUGACGGUAAUGGGUAAAGAAGCACCGGCUAACUACGUG